RNAcentral lists this small RNA (207 nucleotides) under Salmonella enterica subsp. enterica serovar Typhimurium. RNAcentral's name for it is "isrG". It matches the Rfam family "isrG Hfq binding RNA", at positions 1 to 249 of the family's 279-position model. Lineage: Bacteria; Pseudomonadati; Pseudomonadota; Gammaproteobacteria; Enterobacterales; Enterobacteriaceae. The record is from RNAcentral.
GUUUUGCGGCAUCUUCUGCUCUGGUGGCUGCUGCUCCGGCAGCAGUACUGCUUUGCGCCGCCAGUGAUGCGCUGGUAUCAGAUGCGGCGGCGUGAGUGCAUGCCUCCCCGAAUUUUGUGGUCGCCGUACCUGCGCUGCUCUCCACAGAUGCUGCGGAUGAGGCUGCCUGUGUGGCUGAUGCUUCUGCCGCUCCGGCUGCAUUCACUG